GACGAACGCUGGCGGCGUGCCUAAUACAUGCAAGUCGAGCGGACCGAACCAGAGCUUGCUCUUGUUUGGUCAGCGGCGGACGGGUGACUAACACGUGGGCAACCUGCCCGCUAGACCGGGAUAACUCCGGGAAACCCGAGCUAAUACCGGAUAACACCUAAGAUUGCAUGGUCUUUGGUUGAAAGGCGGCUUCGGCUGCCACUUGCGGAUGGGCCCGCGGCGCAUUAGCUAAUUGGUGAGGUAACGGCUCACCAGGGCGACGAUGCGUAACCGGCCUGAGAGGGUGACCGGCCACACUGGGACUGAGACACGGCCCAGACUCCUACGGGAGGCAUCAUUACGGAAUCUUCCGCAAUGGACGAAAGUCUGACGGAUCGACGCCGCGUGAGCGAAGAAUGCCUUCGGGUCGUAAAGCUCUGUUGUGAGGGACGAAGGAGCGCCGUUUGAAUAAAGCGGCGCGGUGACAGUACCUCACGAGAAAGCCCCGGCUAACUACGUGCCAGCAGCCGCGGUAAUACGUACGGGGCGAGCGUUGUCCGGAAUUAUUGGGCGUAAAGCGCGCGCAGGCGGUCCUUUAAGUCUGAUGUGAAAGCCCACGGCUCAACCGUGAAGAGUCAUUGGAAACUGGGGGACUUGAGUGCAGGAGAGGAGAGACGGAACUCCACGGGUAGCGGUGAAAUGCGCACAGAUGUCGGAGGAACACCACUGGCGAAGGCGGCGCUCUGGCCUGAAACAGACGCUGAGGCGCGAAAGCGCGGGGAGCAAACAGGAGAAGAUACCCCGGUAGUUCAUGCAGUAAAUGAUGAGUGGUAAGUGUUAGAGGGGCCACUUCCUUUAGUUCUGUAGCAAACGCGAUAAGCACUCCGCCUGGGGAGUACGGCCGCAAGGCUGAAACUCAAAGGAAUUGACGGGGGCCCGCACAAGCGGCGGAGCAUGUGGUUUAAUUUGAAGCAACGCGAAGAACCACCACCAGGUCUUGACAUCCCCUGACAACCCAAGAGAUUGGGCGUUCCCCCCUCGGGGGGACAGGGUGACAGGUGGUGCAUGGUUGUCGUCAGCUCGUGUCGAGAGAUGUUGGGUUAAGUCCCGCAACGAGCGCAACCCUUGCCGCGAGGCGCCAGCAUUCAGUUGGGCAUUCUAGAGGGACUGCCGGCUAAAAUUCGGAGGAAGGUGGGGAUGACGUCAAAUCUUCAUGCCCCUUAUGACAUGGGUUACACCCGUGUUACAAUGGGCGGUACAAAGGGCUGCGAACCCGCGAGGGGGAGCGAAUUCCAAAAAGCCGUUUUCAGUUGGGAUUGCAGGCUGCAAUUCGCUUGCAGGAAUCCGGAAUCGUUAGUAUUCGCGGAUCAGCAUGCCGCGGUGAAUACAUUCCCGGGCCU
This 1379-nucleotide ribosomal RNA is filed under the name uncultured bacterium. RNAcentral's name for it is "bacterial SSU rRNA". It matches the Rfam family "Bacterial small subunit ribosomal RNA", at positions 28 to 1381 of the family's 1533-position model. The record is from RNAcentral.